CGUAGUUAGCCGAGACUUGUUCAAGAGGUACCGUCCUUCCUCUUCCCUCUUAAAAGGACUUUACAACCCUAGGGCCUUCAUCGUCCACGCGGCGUUGCUGCAUCCAACUUUCGUCGAUUAUGCAAUAUUCCUC
Molecule: ribosomal RNA, 133 nt
Filed under: uncultured bacterium
Lineage: Bacteria
Description: partial 16S ribosomal RNA
Source: RNAcentral